RNAcentral lists this ribosomal RNA (274 nucleotides) under uncultured bacterium. RNAcentral's name for it is "partial 16S ribosomal RNA". It matches the Rfam family "Bacterial small subunit ribosomal RNA", at positions 523 to 796 of the family's 1533-position model. The record is from RNAcentral.
AUACGGAGGGGGCUAGCGUUGUUGGGAAUUACUGGGCGUAAAGCGCACGUAGGCGGAUUAAAAAGUUAGAGGAGAAAUCCCAGGGCUUAACCCUGGAACUGCCUUUAAAACUAGUAGUCUAGAGUUCGAGAGAGGUGAGUGGAAUUCCAAGUGUAGAGGUGAAAUUCGUAGAUAUUUGGAGGAACACCAGUGGCGAAGGCGGCUCACUGGCUCGAUACUGACGCUGAGGUGCGAAAGCGUGGGGAGCAAACAGGAUUAGAAACCCUAGUAGUCC